Molecule: ribosomal RNA, 553 nt
Filed under: uncultured bacterium
Lineage: Bacteria
Description: bacterial SSU rRNA
Rfam family: Bacterial small subunit ribosomal RNA
Source: RNAcentral
AAUAGAUACCCGGGUAGUCCACGCCGUAAACGAUGAGUGCUAAGUGUUGGGGGGUUUCCGCCCCUCAGUGCUGCAGCUAACGCAUUAAGCACUCCGCCUGGGGAGUACGGUCGCAAGACUGAAACUCAAAGGAAUUGACGGGGGCCCGCACAAGCGGUGGAGCAUGUGGUUUAAUUCGAAGCAACGCGAGGAACCUUACCAGGUCUUGACAUCCCGGUGACCACUAUGGAGACAUAGUUUCCCCUUCGGGGGCAACGGUGACAGGUGGUGCAUGGUUGUCGUCAGCUCGUGUCGUGAGAUGUUGGGUUAAGUCCCGCAACGAGCGCAACCCUUAUUCUUAGUUGCCAUCAUUCAGUUGGGCACUCUAAGGAGACUGCCGGUGAUAAACCGGAGGAAGGUGGGGAUGACGUCAAAUCAUCAUGCCCCUUAUGACCUGGGCUACACACGUGCUACAAUGGACGGUACAAACGGUUGCCAACCCGCGAAGGGGAGCUAAGUCCGAUAAAACCGUUCUCAGUUCGGAUUGUAGGCUGCAACUCGCCUACAUGGAACG